GACGAACGCUGGCGGCGUGCUUAACACAUGCAAGUCGAACGGGAUCCGGGCUUUCGGGUUUGGUGAGAGUGGCGAACGGGUGAGUAACACGUGAGUAACCUGCCCCCUUCUUUGGGAUAACGUCGGGAAAUCGGCGCUAAUACUGGAUAUUCUUGCUGCAUCGCAUGGUGUGGUUUGGAAAGGUUUUCUGGUGGGGGAUGGGCUCGCGGCCUAUCAGCUUGUUGGUGGGGUGAUGGCCUACCAAGGCUUUGACGGGUAGCCGGCCUGAGAGGGUGUCCGGCCACACUGGGACUGAGACACGGCCCAGACUCCUACGGGAGGCAGCAGUGGGGAAUAUUGCACAAUGGGCGCAAGCCUGAUGCAGCGACGCCGCGUGAGGGAUGACGGCCUUCGGGUUGUAAACCUCGUUCAGUAUGGAACAAGGAUCCUUCUUUUGGGGGGUUUGAGGGUACGUGCAGAAGAAGCGCCGGCUAACUACGUG
RNAcentral lists this ribosomal RNA (481 nucleotides) under uncultured bacterium. Its description in RNAcentral is "partial 16S ribosomal RNA". It matches the Rfam family "Bacterial small subunit ribosomal RNA", at positions 28 to 507 of the family's 1533-position model. The record is from RNAcentral.